GGACAAUCGCUUGUCUAUUUUCAUCUUUUUGUUGACUAAAGGCUAAAGCCUUCUUUUUUUUUCACUCUACAAGAUCAUAGAUUCUCUCCCUUCUCUCAACGUGGAACUUAAACGAGCAACAACAGAAAAGAACCACCAUUUUAUUCUUUCUCUUGAAUCACUGAAAAUAAUAACACCACCAAAAUUUUAUAUAUGAAUCAAUAUGCUGGACCUGAAAAACCAAUAAAGUGAUAUGUAUAUAUAUGUGUGUGUGUAUGUGUGUAUCGAUCCUCAUUUGUGUCCUGGUAAUUGUGUCCUUCACAUGAAGCCAUUGAUCAUUGCAGAAAUCGCUGCGCCAAUAAAGGCAGAUAAGAAUAUUGAAAAUCUCUUUGUUGGUGAGGAAGAAGGUGGCAAUGGGAUUGUCCCAAACACAGUGGGGUAAGAGGGUGCUGCAGUUUCUGGCAAUGCACUAGGACCAUAAGAGGGAGAGUAAGCUGAACCAUUCCCAGAAAGAAGAGAUAUGCGUAGCUUCUGCUUCUGUUCACAGUGCCCUGGAACUCCACUGGUGAAGUAGAACACCCCGGGUGCAGUGAUGUUAAAUAAAGAAUUGCCAUUGUUCAUGUACAAUAGUGGAUCUGUCAGGUUGCAGGAGUUGUAGUUUUGUUCUGUGACUUGAAUCACGGAAUCUUGACUUGGUGGGUACAAGAACAAGAGAGAAUCUCCAAUCUGGAAGGUGUGGUAUUUGGACCAAAAAGAGUAGACUUGUGGGUUUGCCGAAGUAGGAAUACUCCAAGCAUCCAAAUCUCCAACCUUGUACUGGUAGCAAGAGACUUGGAUUUGCGCCAGCAAAAAUAACUGAAAAGCAUAGAUUGGCAGGACCAGGGAUCUAGGACUUCUAAGAUUGGCCAUUUUGCCUGCUCUCAAGCCAAUUUUUCUUUUCUCAAAUUUGAGAAUGAAAGCAGGACACCGUAGGGUGAAAUCUUGUUGGCCCAAAUAUUCGUCGACAGAAAAGAACAAGUUGAUGAUUUCUCCUGAUUGCCCCUCUUCCUAGUUAAAGCUCAGCUGAUAGCAACUUUGAUCUGUUACUUUCAAUGGUUAAAACCUUAAACAACGUGAAGUACGCGUAUCAAGGGUUAGGGAAUUAACGGUACAGAUAUGGGAAUCAACCAAACUUUAGCCAGUCUCUUUUGCCUCAUAUGUCUGAUAAAAUGUUGGGUUGAGGAUGGAAAGGGAACAUGCAAAGUUUAGAGGGGUAAGAUUGGAUCUAAAUCAAUGAUAGGGCCAAUAAUGGCACAUGGGCCAGCUGGGCAUUCAUCCAACACAACUCGAAAUGCGCCUCUGUGAGGUUGGAACAAGCUUGGAGGUGGGGGUAGGAUGUUGCACAAAACGUCCAAAGAUUGGUGCUACAAUUCAAAUUCGUAACCAUAUCACCACGUGGUGAGAAGAGAACUCUCAGGCUUGUCUUGCCAUUACAUGGUUCUUUAUGGUUGGCUGGACACUAAGGUUGAGGCAUCUCCGCUUACCAGCAUGCAAACAGCAUUAGACAAUGGUCUUUGAUUAUAUUUGGAAAGCCAGUAUCUGAAACCAGAAUUUUAGUGACAUAGCAGUCGAUCAAUUAGAGUAAAUUAUAAGAUCUUCAGGUCAAGUCAAGUUCCUCUGUCAUAUUAGCGUGAACUUCACAUGUUAAUUCCUCCGAUGAGAAAUGUGAGUAGGAUUCUCCAAUUCUUACCAAUAUUCCCCCCAUUGAAGAUUAGGUAGGCAUCGAGCUACCUCAAUCUGCUUAUCGCUACUCAUUAUGAAAAGCAGUUG
Molecule: unclassified non-coding RNA, 1788 nt
Filed under: Hevea brasiliensis (rubber tree)
Lineage: Eukaryota; Viridiplantae; Streptophyta; Magnoliopsida; Malpighiales; Euphorbiaceae
Source: RNAcentral